GCCUGGCUGGCUUAGUCGGAAGAGCACUGGACUCUUGAUCUUGGGGUCAUGAAUUUGAUCCCCAUGUUGGGUG
This 73-nucleotide transfer RNA is filed under the name Felis catus (domestic cat). It matches the Rfam family "tRNA". Rfam says of the family: Transfer RNA (tRNA) molecules are approximately 80 nucleotides in length. The record is from Rfam by way of RNAcentral. Lineage: Eukaryota; Metazoa; Chordata; Mammalia; Carnivora; Felidae.